CAACCUGCCGUCUACUCUUGGACAGCCUUCUGAAAGGAAGAUUAAUACAAGAUGGCAUCAUGAGUCCGCAUGUUCACAUGAUUAAAGGUAUUCCGGUAGACGAUGGGGAUGCGUUCCAUUAGAUAGUAGGCGGGGUAACGGCCCACCUAGUCUUCGAUGGAUAGGGGUUCUGAGAGGAAGGUCCCCCACAUUGGAACUGAGACACGGUCCAAACUCCUACGGGAGGCAGCAGUGAGGAAUAUUGGUCAAUGGACGAGAGUCUGAACCAGCCAAGUAGCGUGAAGGAUGAAGGUUCUAUGGAUUGUAAACUUCUUUUAUACGGGAAUAAACGAAUCCACGCGUGGAUUUCUGCAUGUACCGUAUGAAUAAGGAUCGGCUAACUCCGUGCCAGCAGCCGCGGUAAUACGGAGGAUCCGAGCGUUAUCCGGAUUUAUUGGGUUUAAAGGGAGCGUAGAUGGGUUGUUAAGUCAGUUGUGAAAGUUUGCGGCUCAACCGUAAAAUUGCAAUUGAUACUGGCAGUCUUGAGUACAGUUGAGGUAGGCGGAAUUCGUGGUGUAGCGGUGAAAUGCUUAGAUAUCACGAAGAACUCCGAUUG
This 595-nucleotide ribosomal RNA is filed under the name uncultured Bacteroidota bacterium. Its description in RNAcentral is "bacterial SSU rRNA". It matches the Rfam family "Bacterial small subunit ribosomal RNA", at positions 122 to 715 of the family's 1533-position model. Lineage: Bacteria; Pseudomonadati; Bacteroidota. The record is from RNAcentral.